AAAUUAAAAUAAAAUAAAAAUGGUAAGAAUAGACAUAUCUACUAAGUAUGUGUAUAUGUGUUUAUGUCUGUGUGUAUACAUAUGUGUGUACACACACACACACACACACACACAUAUAUACAGAAAUAAAUAUAUACCAUGCUGUAUACCAUUGCCAGACGUCUGGUAGAAGUUGAGAAAAUUUCCAAGGCUGAGUUUAGGCUUAACAAAAAGAACACUAUGAUUAAUAGUGGUAUCUGAUUUGGAUCCUCAAGGGGAAAGUGGUGGCCCAAACGUCUGACAUUAGCCAUCUUGAGAUCAUGUACUUACGGUUUCAUAAAACUUACAUAUUAAAUUAUAUGCGUCAUUUCAACUAAUGCAGGUAUGAUGGUAACGGAAUAGGUGUAACUCUUAAAAACCUGGGGGUUGAGGAUCACGAUGGAUCAUCGAAAAACAUAAAAGUUUCAGAUUCCACAUGUAAGUGAAAUCACAUGGCAUUUGUCUUGCUCUGUCUGACUUAUUUCACUUGGUUUAAUACCUUCCAGGUCCAUCCAUGUUGUCGCAAAUGUGAUAUCUGGCAGCCAUGUCAGAAAAAUACCAAAAAUAGAGGAAGAACAAGAAGAUUUACUUGAUUAAAAAAGUGGCUGAAAGACAAGUUCAGAGAGGGAUUCAGGAACAUGAGAGAAUUUGAAAAAUAUGAUCCAGAAAAAAUAGGCAAGAUUGCAGCAGGCCCUCGGAGCUGGACCACCUGACUCCAGUCUGCCCACCUCUUCCUGGACCGGCACACAGUGCUAUGUGGAUGACCCUUCUAAACUGCAAAUGUCAUCAUGUCACUUUCCCGUGUACCACCUGUCGUUCCCCCGACUUAAGAUUAAAGUAAAAUCCUUCUGGUUUUGCAUGCCAGGUCUUGCAUUUUCUGGAUAUGGCCUUUCUCUCUUGCCUCAUCUGCUAUCACCCCCCUCUACACACACACACACACACACACACACACAUCCUCCUCCGUCUCAGCCGCUCCACAGUGUGUGUGAAUUGCGUGAUUUCUUACCUCCACUUCUUGUGUGUUGAUCUUGAAAUACUCUCCUCAUCCCCUUUGUUUCUUUUUUCAUUUUAUUUUAUUUUAUUUUAUUUUAUUUUAUUUUAUUUUAUUUUUAUUUUUAUUUUUGAGAGAGAGAGAGACAGACAAAGCAUGAGCCGGGGAGGGGCAGAGAGAGAGGAAGACACAGGAUCCAAAGUAGGCUCCAGGCUCAGAGCUGUCAGCACAGAGCCCAAUGCAGGGCUCGAACUCACAGACCACGAGAUCAUGAUCUGAGCCGAAGUCAGACACUUAAGUGACUGAGCCACUCAGGUGCUCCCCCUUUAUUUCUAAUUAGUUAAUAUUCAUCCUUUAAAUUCAGUCGAAGGGUCACCUCCUCCAGGAAGCCUUCUUGGAGCCUCCCAUCUGAUUUAGAUGCCCUCCUCUGUGUUCUUAUAACUGUCUCAUAAAACCUACUGUAUGUUCCAUUAUAAUUGUGUCUGCAUUGUAAACUCCUUAAAGACUGAAUGCAUUUUUGGCCUGGUGUGUUUACACUGGAUUUACAAAUGUUUCCAACUUAUUUAGCAUAUUCAUCUAUCACGCGGGGUGAUUAUGCUCCUAAUUUUACUUACUUUCCGUGGUUCCCAGGUAUGGGGUCUGGAGGCAUGACCAGGGCCCAUGUUCCAUUCCUCAGAGCUGGGAGUUGUGUGUCCUGCUCUCCUCCCCCAAAUUGUCUCACCAUGUCAUCUCCUCCCUUCCCUGACAAGUUCCAAUGUCAAGCAGCUUGUAACCAGGAAAUGAGAUGUCAGCAUCCCGUGCUUCUGGACCUCCACAGCUUGACGUGUUGUUUUCUUGGCCGCCUUCCCAUGCAACUGCCCCCUCCCUGCUGGGCAGGUGAAAUGAGUGACAGGGAUAGACUUUCUUCGUGACCAUCAAACUUUUCCUGAUCUGGGUCCACUGUCAUAUUCACUGGGGCCAGAGUUGAGGAAAGAGGAGGGUGUCGAUGCCUGUGCUGUUGACUGGCCCCAAGAGACAGUGGUUCUCCGAGCUUAGAAUUUGAAAGGCUUGGUGCCUUUUUUCCCUCUCGGUCAAUUCCAGAAAUAACAGUAGUAGCUGUGCAUUUGCUGUCCACCAGGAACAAUUCUGAUAUUUCCACUUAAUCUUUAUGACAGCGUCGUCUGACAAAAAAUGAGUCGUUCUUCUCAACUGACAUACAAAGGAACUGAGGCAAGGAGAGGGUAAAGAAUCUGCCCAAAGUCAUCAGCUAGUAAAUGCAGCCCAGACUCAAACCAGCCUGGUGCUACAGCUCAUUUCUGUAACCUCUGGGCUGCACUGCCUCACUUUGCCACUAGCCUGUCACAGUUAGAUUUGCUGCUCCCAGUAGCGAUUGUCCAGCUUUGUGCCUGGUCAGCGGGAGCCCCCCCCGUGCCUGGGUGACUCGAGGAGGCCGUAUGGUGUUCUCCUUUGCCUCCCCCCCUCUUCAGUGUUACCUGCUAAAUACGGCUUUCGAGGUGUGCCGUCUCUUGGCUGGCCCACUGUGUCUUCAAAAAAUUAUCUUUUAUUUAUUUACAGUUUUCAUGCCAUUUACUUUCAUUGGUUUUUUACUAACUACUUUUCUUUUUUAAGUUUAUUUAUUUAUUCUGAGAGGGAGAGACAGAGAGCAGAGGAGGGACAGAGAGAGAAAGGGAGAGACAGAAUCCCAAGUAGGCUCCACACUAAUAGUCCAUCCAGAGCCUGAUGCAGAGCUCAAAUUCAUGAACCCGUGAAACCAUGACUCGAGCCAAGGUUAAGAAUCAGACGGCUUCCCCACCGACUGAGCCAUCCAGGUGCCCCAACCAGCCACUUUUUUUAAGUUGAAGAAGUAAUCUGUACACAUGGUAAGAUAUUCAGACUAUAAAAGGUCUCCACAGAAAGCAAACCUACCUCCAGACUCCCGGUCUCCCAGUCUGUCCCCAGGACCCUCCCUCAUCCAACACCCAGGCCAAACGCCAUCACUUUCCUUAUGAAAUAGUGUGUGUAGCAAGGUUAUAAUUGAACUCACAUUACAACUUACGUGUGCUGCUAAAACGUUUGCUCUUUUUGUCUAUAAUGAAUCCAGCCUUCCAGCCCCGCCCCCAACUCCUCUCCAUCACCCCUGCUCACAGGCUGAUGGCAAAAAUGAACAGUUUCCAGUCUUGUUAAAAAUUUUUUUUUUUUAUUUUAGAGAGAGAAAGAGAGUAUGAGUGGGGGGAGGCAGGCAGAGGGAGAGAGAGACAAAAUCUCAAGCAGGCUGCAUGCUCAGUGCUAGAGCCUGGCAUGAGGCUCAGUCCCACAAUCCUGGGAUCAUGACCUGAGCUGAAAUCAAGAGUCAGAAGCUUAACCGACUGAGCCACCCAGGCGCUCCCAGGCUUGUUUAAACCUUAGUCUACCUGGUAGGUUGUCUCUUUUAGGGAGGUAUUCAGGCUGACUUGGAUGAAAGGGUCAGUCUCCCAGAGAUUCUGUCCUCCGGGCCUGCUCCUUUCAACAACAAAGGAGAGGGAGGGAAGGAGUGCAGCUUAUGUGACCUGCAGCCAAUAUUCUCUCGCCCGCUUAGCGCUUAGCGUGUGUCUGCUGUCCUCUGGCCUCUGGGCAGUGUUCUUCAGCCAUCUGGUCAGGGAUGCCCUGCAGGUCUCUGGUGCAGAGACGAGUGUGCACAGUCAGGGUGUGUUGUUGGUGCCGUGCUCCUGGCGGUUGUCCCUGGCUGAUGUGAGCUCAACCCAGCGUUUGAUGGCUGUCACCCUGCAGGAUUUGGCUGACAUGCCCAUUCAACCCUGCCCAGCUAGUGUUUCUCCACAGAGCCGUUUUGCCCAUGGCAUGGCAGCCGCCUCUGGGGAAGCUUCCUCACCGGGGUUCUUGGUUAGUUCUGGGGCCUGGCAACACACAAGACCUAGCACGCGUGGCUCAGGAAAGCUAGGGCUUGGGUUAAGCCUCCCACCUGACCACGACGCGUAAUGAAGUUUACCCUGCCCCAUGAGGGUGCACCCUCCCAGAACCCAGACAGGGCAGUUAUGGAGGGGAUCCGCCUCUCCCUCUGACCCCACUGUUAUCUGUACCCCCACCAGACGUCACGUGGUAAAAGACAAACACAACGUGGUCCGACUGUCACUGAUAGAGCCGCCAUCUUCUUUACUCUGUGAGGGGACCCAGUGUGCGUAGGCCCUCUGGGCGAGGAUGCUGAUUAUACCCAAGGGACAGAUCGGGGGGGGGGGGGGGGGGGGGUUGAAUGAUUCUGUUGUUAGGAACAUCCUUCUGUAAUGUAGAAGCUGGAAUGAUUUUGGCUACCUGUGACAUCUAACUCAAUGUGGCUUAAGCAAUAAAGACAUUUAGUAAUCUUGCAAGAUAAAAACUCUCUGGGAGUUAAGGGUUCCAGGGUUGUUUUGGCCACGCCAUUAUACCACCGGGGGCCCCAGACCCUUGUGCUCUGCCAUCUGCAAGCUGACUUGUCACCUUUGGUCUCAUCAUUUCAGGGUCACAACUGCUCUGGGCAUCACGUCAUCAGACAGGCUCGUUCAAAGGCUCAGGGUGGAGCACAUCUCGUCUCUGUCCUUUUUGUCAGCGUCAGCUGACUGACAGUGGGUUCCUGAUACCAUAUCCCUUUUCAACUUAAGACAUGAUGAUAAUUUUUAUGUUAUAUUUCUUAAGUUUAUUUUUAUUUAUUUUGAGGGAGGAGAGGAGCAGAGAGAGGGAGACAGAAUCCCAACCAGGCUCCGCACAGCCAACGCAGAGUUGGACACGGGGCUUGAACUCUCGAAUCGUGAGCCAAUCAUGACCUGAGCCAAUAUCAAGACCUGGUCCGCUCAACAGACUGAGCCUCUUUAUGUUACAUUUUUAAAAAUAGAUUUUGUGACUAGAGAGGAUUCGGCUCCACUUUAAUUGGAAUUGAAGUCAAAUUGGCAAAUUUGUUUCAAAUUGGUUUUCUCUUACUCUUGACUACUUUCAAGUAAGAUUUUACUCAAGGUGGAUGUUCCACUUUUGUUUUUUUGUUUCUGUAUUGGUGACUUUCUCCUCUGAAGGACGUUGCAAAGCCAGCCAUGUUUACAGUACCUAGUAAACGGAAUCUGGUUUUGGACAGGGAUGUGAGAGAAAUAUACUUCAGCUGGCACUUCUGUGAAAGGGACUGAGAGCUCUGAAAUCAUCUGCAGUUUGAUUUGUGUGUUAUCAAUAACUCCGAAGAUUGUGAAGCUGCAUCCUGAGCCUAUAUUUUCUUUUCUGUCUGUUGCAAGUUAUCUAGAGAAUGUGGUAGAAGAAUACCCACAGAAGUUCAAAUCACACAUCCUGGAAAUGGGGCCAUUUUAAAAUGCUAUCACCUUGUAAGUUUGAGGACUUGUCGAAUGAUUUUCAGGAAGUUAGAAAUA
Acinonyx jubatus (cheetah) is the source of this 5364-nucleotide long non-coding RNA. RefSeq lists it as uncharacterized. NCBI's taxonomy places the organism in Eukaryota, Metazoa, Chordata, Mammalia, Carnivora, Felidae. The transcript is spliced from 4 exons. The record is from RefSeq and is a predicted model, not a curated record.